GGCACAGUGGCGCAGUGGGUAGCGCAGUCACCUCGCAGUAUGAAUGUUGUGGGUUUGAAUCCAGCCUGGGACC
Non-coding RNA from Gymnothorax javanicus (giant moray), 73 nucleotides. NCBI's taxonomy places the organism in Eukaryota, Metazoa, Chordata, Actinopteri, Anguilliformes, Muraenidae. The record is from the annotation of a GenBank genome assembly.